GAARGGUCGAAWGKUCAUWCSYGKUUCCACUGUCSAASUYKGAUGUKUGKAUGACRGAUAACUGUAUCGGCGUCGUCCGCUUCUUACGUUCUUCGUGUCGAUGUCGAACGCGUGCACUUUUCCUCUAGUAGGACGUCGCGAUCCGUUGGGUGUCUGUCUAAGACUCAAGGUGGAGCCCGCGUAAUUUUUAAUUAUGCGGACCCUUGAUGUUCCGACAGACUCGCUCGACGGUAUGCUAAUGGCGCGGGGCCGCUACUUUAGUUAGCGUUCGGCCCGUAGCAAGCACGUUCUGUGUUUGACGGCGAUCGGACCUAGUGCCGAUUCUGUCCCGGAAUGACUGUUGGUUACGGUGUUCUCGAACAGACCUCGUAUGAAACGCCGAUCAGCGACGCUCUAGAUUUGGGUACUUUCAGGACCCGUCUUGAAACACGGACCAAGGAGUCUAGCAUGUGCGCGAGUCAUUGGGAUAUAACUAAACCUAAAGGCGUAAUGAAAGUAAAGGUUUACCUUGCGUAGACCGAGGGAGGAUAAGCGGUUUGCCCUUAAAAGUGGCCGCUUCGCACUCCCAGAGUGUCUCAUUCUCAUUGCGAGAA
This 593-nucleotide ribosomal RNA is filed under the name Paratriarius subimpressa. RNAcentral describes it as "partial 28S ribosomal RNA". It matches the Rfam family "Eukaryotic large subunit ribosomal RNA", at positions 529 to 785 of the family's 3401-position model. Lineage: Eukaryota; Metazoa; Arthropoda; Insecta; Coleoptera; Chrysomelidae. The record is from RNAcentral.